Molecule: long non-coding RNA, 1337 nt
Filed under: Anser brachyrhynchus (Pink-footed goose)
Lineage: Eukaryota; Metazoa; Chordata; Aves; Anseriformes; Anatidae
Description: lncRNA (ENSABRG00000019775.1)
Source: RNAcentral
CAAGUAGUAAUUGCACUCAGGAAGGAUGAAUAAGAGUUUCCUAAUUAAAAGAUGUUUUUCGGGGAGCUUCAGCUUAACAGGGUGACUGCUUUGUCUUAAUUAUUUUCUGUCAGUGUAUAUUUAUGUGGGUGUUUGUCUCUCACUGGUCUGUACUCUGUGAGUGAAUUGUGCUAUCUGUAUUGCUAAUAAAAAGCCAGCUGUAGUUCCGAGAGAAAGGUGUGUGUUAAACUACAGGCCUGCUUGCCAAGCUGCUUACUUCAUCAGGUGUUUUUCUGUUCCAGUUUCAAGCCCUGUUCCUGGUUGCCUCUCCAGGAGAUGAGGGAGUGAUUGUUUGGAAAACUUAGGAAGGAAAAUAGGCUCAGUGGAAUGUGGGGUGAGAUGGAUCUGUGGGAGAGGUGUACGUACAACUGAGAAGCUGCUUAAGAUUCCCUGUGCAGAAACUUAAGAGAAGGAACAAGGUACAACCUUGGGCUGCUCGUGAUCAAGCUUGAUGAAUAUAGAAAUAUUUAACUUUGUAAUCUAGCCAAAUCUCUGCCAUUCCUCACGAGCCCAUGUUCCUAAAUUAAAGAUGCCAGGGUACUUGGUCACCUUUCUGACAGCACACUCACAGGCUCCAGUGUCUUCAGGAACACAAUCAGUUACGACUGCUAAAUACCUGUCUAUGUUGUUUACGUGCCAGAUGACUGCUAAAAGGAGCUGAAGAAAUACUUACAUUUUCAUUACACUUUUUUCCUCCCAAAGCUGGGAGGCUACAUACAUCCUCUGGCCGUGUACCCUUAACUGCACUGCUCCUCCAGGAGCUCUGGUUAGGGAUCCUCAGCCGUUUGACUAGCACUGUAACUGCUCUGGCUCUCAUUGCUGGAGGGUUAGCGCUUCAGCCCAUGCCCUGUCACUAACACAGGGGGUGACGUGCUGGAGUGGACCAGGAUUCCAGCUGUGUGAGCGUCUGACUCUUACUAACCAGGGGUUUAUCUUGGUGACAUUAUAAAGACUGAGCCAGACGAUUACAAGACUCGCUUUCAUUGCAUGGGGUGGACUUCUUUUUCCAGUCAGUACUAAAUUACCAUGCACCAGGCUCCUGUGGUUUAGAGACAAGAUUAAGUUCAGAGUCUCAGUAUGCACAAGUGCUCUGUGUCAACUUUGUAAGUGAUAAUCUCUUCAGAUAGACCCUUUUCCCCGUCUGUGAGACACUGUAUUUUUAGUUAUGCACUCUGUGAGAUGAUGGCCUUGGGAUGUGAACUGAUGCAUAAGUGCAGCAAGCCAUUUCAACAGUUCAGCCAAAUUCUCUUACAAAAGCUGAAGACCGCUUAGCAUUCAAAUAGUUAUUUGAAGUGUGA